Molecule: non-coding RNA, 205 nt
Organism: Pelobates cultripes (western spadefoot toad)
Lineage: Eukaryota; Metazoa; Chordata; Amphibia; Anura; Pelobatidae
Source: the annotation of a GenBank genome assembly
CCCAGCGGUAGUCAGCUGUCCAGUGCUUGCCCAUGCCUGCGAUUGUGUUACACUACUGGGAGAUAAAAGCGCUGCCGCUGCAUGCAUGGUGCCACAGUUGCCGUUCUGGUGGCUUGUGGCACCUGUAUCAGGUAGAGCUGUGCUUCCUCGAGAGUGCGCUGAACAUGCGUUUUGGCUGUUUAGUGCUAGUCUGGAAGCUCACAAG